UAAGCGGAGGAAAAGAAACCAACAGGGAUUGCCCUAGUAACGGCGAGCGAAGCGGCAACAGCUCAAAUUUGAAAUCUGGCUACUUUGUAGUCCGAGUUGUAAUUUGUAGAGGAUGCUUUUGGUGAGGUGCCUUCCGAGUUCCCUGGAACGGGACGCCAGAGAGGGUGAGAGCCCCGUACGGUUGGAUACCAAACCUUUGUAUAGCUCCUUCAACGAGUCGAGUAGUUUGGGAAUGCUGCUCUAAAUGGGAGGUAUAUCUCUUCUAAAGCUAAAUAUAGGCUAGAGACCGAUAGCGCACAAGUAGAGUGAUCGAAAGAUGAAAAGCACUUUGAAAAGAGAGUUAAACAGCACGUGAAAUUGUUGAAAGGGAAGCGCCUAUGACCAGACUUGUUUCUUUCAGUUUUGUUAGUUCUCGGACUGAUUUACUCUGUUAGUACAGGCCAGCAUCAGUUUGUUGUCGGGGAGAAAGGCUUAGGGAAUGUGGCUCCUUCGGGAGUGUUAUAGCCCUUUGCAUAAUACCCUUCGGCAGACUGAGGACCGCGCUUCGGCAAGGAUGCUGGCGUAAUGGUCAUCAGCGACCCGUCUUGAAACACGGACCAAGGAGUCAACCUUAUGUGCGAGUGUUUGGGUGUAAAACCCCAGCGCGUAAUGAACGUGAACGUAGGUGAGAGCUUCGGCGCAUCAUCGACCGAUUCUGAUGUUCUCGGAUGGAUUUGAGUAAGAGCACACAGGGUUGGACCCGAAAGAAGGUGAACUAUGCUUGUAUAGGGUGAAGCCAGAGGAAACUCUGGUGGAGGCUCGCAGCGGUUCUGACGUGCAAAUCGAUCGUCAAAUAUGAGCAUGGGGGCGAAAG
Molecule: ribosomal RNA, 853 nt
Filed under: Chalaropsis ovoidea
Lineage: Eukaryota; Fungi; Ascomycota; Sordariomycetes; Microascales; Ceratocystidaceae
Description: eukaryotic LSU rRNA
Rfam family: Eukaryotic large subunit ribosomal RNA
Source: RNAcentral